GCCCGGAUGGGGUAGUUUGGAUAUCCUAGGAGCUUGCGGAGCUUUUGACCCGUGUUCGAAUCACGGUCCGGGCG
RNAcentral lists this transfer RNA (74 nucleotides) under Methanobacteriota archaeon. Its description in RNAcentral is "Euryarchaeota archaeon (soil metagenome) tRNA-Arg". It matches the Rfam family "tRNA". From Rfam's summary of the family: Transfer RNA (tRNA) molecules are approximately 80 nucleotides in length. Their secondary structure includes four short double-helical elements and three loops (D, anti-codon, and T loops). Lineage: Archaea; Methanobacteriati; Methanobacteriota. The record is from RNAcentral.